GACGAACGCUGGCGGCGUGCCUAAUACAUGCAAGUUGAGCGCUGAAGGUUGGUACUUGUACCAACUGGAUGAGCAGCGAACGGGUGAGUAACGCGUGGGGAAUCUGCCUAUGAGCGGGGGACAACAUUUGGAAACGAAUGCUAAUACCGCAUAAAAACUUUAAACACAAGUUUUAAGUUUGAAAGAUGCAAUUGCAUCACUCAAAGAUGAUCCCGCGUUGUAUUAGCUAGUUGGUGAGGUAAAGGCUCACCAAGGCGAUGAUACAUAGCCGACCUGAGAGGGUGAUCGGCCACAUUGGGACUGAGACACGGCCCAAACUCCUACGGGAGGCAGCAGUAGGGAACCUUCGGCAAUGGACGAAAGUCUGACCGAGCAACGCCGCGUGAGUGAAGAAGGUUUUCGGAUCGUAAAACUCUGUUGGUAGAGAAGAACGUUGGUGAGAGUGGAAAGCUAAUCAAGUGACGGUAACUACCCAGAAAGGGACGGCUAACUACGUG
This 497-nucleotide ribosomal RNA is filed under the name uncultured bacterium. RNAcentral describes it as "partial 16S ribosomal RNA". It matches the Rfam family "Bacterial small subunit ribosomal RNA", at positions 28 to 507 of the family's 1533-position model. The record is from RNAcentral.